UAGGGAAUCUUCCACAAUGGACGCAAGUCUGAUGGAGCAACGCCGCGUGAGUGAAGAAGGUUUUCGGAUCGUAAAGCUCUGUUGUUGGUGAAGAAGGAUAGAGGCAGUAACUGGUCUUUAUUUGACGGUAAUCAACCAGAAAGUCACGGCUAACUACGUGCCAGCAGCCGUGGUAAUACGUAGGUGGCAAGCGUUGUCCGGAUUUAUUGGGCGUAAAGCGAGCGCAGGCGGAAUGAUAAGUCUGAUGUGAAAGCCCACGGCUCAACCGUGGAACUGCAUCGGAAACUGUCAUUCUUGAGUGCAGAAGAGGAGAGUGGAAUUCCAUGUGUAGCGGUGGAAUGCGUAGAUAUAUGGAAGAACACCAGUGGCGAAGGCGGCUCUCUGGUCUGCAACUGACGCUGAGGCUCGAAAGCAUGGGUAGCGAACAGG
RNAcentral lists this ribosomal RNA (429 nucleotides) under bacterium. RNAcentral describes it as "partial 16S ribosomal RNA". It matches the Rfam family "Bacterial small subunit ribosomal RNA", at positions 355 to 776 of the family's 1533-position model. The record is from RNAcentral.